AACCCUGUACAUAGGGGGUUUUACCUUUCUCGUUCUCACCAGCCUCAUCUACAUUUCCGCCAAAAAGAGAAGGAGAAGAAUUGGUUUAGAACCUUUCUAUUUCUAUAAACUUUAGAAGGGUUCAAAUGGCGCCCGUUCUAAGUAGGGGCUUGGCAGCAUCUUCUAUAGCUUCUCUUCCUUCGUCAUCGUUUUCAGUGAAGAACCAAAUUAAAGUCUUGAAUUUGAGAACUUCUUUUAUACCCCGAAACAUUUCGAGACAUGGGUUUCCUGGUUGUGGACUGAAAUGGAAAUUCGAGAGGAAAAACAACCGAUUGGCUGUCCGAUGUGAGGCGGCUGUGGCUGAGAAAGAAGCCGAGGACAGCUCUGGCGAGAAGUUUGAGUACCAGGCGGAGGUUAGUCGACUACUGGACUUGAUAGUUCAUAGUUUAUAUAGUCACAAGGAAGUGUUUCUUCGAGAGCUGGUGAGUAAUGCAAGUGAUGCGCUAGAUAAGUUGAGAUUUUUAAGUGUGACCGAACCUUCUCUUCUUGGAGAUGCUGGUGAAUUGGAGAUACGCAUCAAGCCUGAUCCAGACAAUGGGACCAUCACCAUAACAGAUACUGGUAUUGGAAUGACCAAAGAAGAGCUCAUUGACUGCCUAGGAACUAUUGCACAGAGUGGGACCUCAAAAUUCUUGAAGGCUCUGAAGGAGAAUAAAGAUGUUGGAGCAGAUAAUGGCUUGAUUGGUCAGUUUGGUGUUGGAUUCUAUUCAGCGUUUCUUAUUGCUGAGAAGGUGGUUGUGUCUACAAAAAGCCCAAGGUCAGAUAAGCAGUAUGUCUGGGAAGCAGUGGCUGACAGUAGCUCAUAUGUUAUCAGGGAAGAGACUGAUCCUGAAAAACUUCUACGCCGUGGAACACAAAUCACCCUCUAUUUAAGGCCGGAUGAUAAAUAUGAAUUCUCUGAGCCAAGCAGGAUACAAGGUUUGGUGAAGAAUUACUCUCAAUUUGUUUCCUUCCCCAUAUACACAUGGCAGGAAAAAUCAAGGACUGUUGAGGUGGAAGAGGAGGAAGAAAAGGAGGGAGAAGAAGAAGAGCCAGAGGGUGAAAAGAAAAAGAAGAAGAAAACUGUGACUGAGAAAUACUGGGACUGGGAAUUAGCCAAUGAAACAAAACCCAUAUGGAUGCGGAAUGCAAAGGAAGUUGAGAAAGAUGAAUACCAUGAAUUCUACAAGAAGACAUUUAAUGAAUUCUUGGAUCCACUUGCAUACACUCACUUUACCACAGAGGGUGAAGUGGAAUUUAGAAGUGUACUCUACAUUCCUGGAAUGGCACCUCUUAACAAUGAGGACAUGAUAAAUCCUAAGACAAAGAAUAUCCGCUUGUAUGUCAAACGUGUAUUCAUUUCAGAUGAUUUUGAUGGUGAACUGUUUCCACGGUACUUGAGUUUUGUAAAGGGUGUGGUGGAUUCAGAUGAUCUUCCUCUCAAUGUGUCUCGAGAGAUACUUCAAGAGAGCCGAAUAGUAAGAAUUAUGAGAAAGAGACUUGUUAGAAAGACAUUUGACAUGAUUCAGGAUAUCUCUGAAAGCGAGAACAAAGAGGAUUAUAAGAAAUUCUGGGAGAACUUUGGAAAGCUUCUUAAGUUGGGAUGCAUUGAGGAUUCGGGAAAUCACAAGCGUCUGAUACCCUUGCUGCGGUUUUACUCUUCCAAAAGUGAGGAAGAACUUAUUAGCUUAGAUAACUAUGUUGAAAAUAUGGGUGAGAACCAAAAGGCUAUCUAUUACUUGGCAACAGACAGUUUGAAAAGUGCAAAAACUGCUCCAUUCUUGGAGAAAUUGGUGCAAAAGGAUAUUGAGGUUUUGUAUCUAAUAGAGCCCAUCGAUGAAGUUGCCAUCCAGAACCUGCAGACCUACAAGGAAAAGAAAUUUGUUGAUAUCAGCAAGGAAGAUCUUGAGUUGGGUGAUGAGGAUGAAGUUAAAGAAAGGGAAACCAAACAAGAGUACAAUCUUCUUUGCGACUGGAUAAAGCAACAAAUUGGUGAUAAGAUAGCUAAAGUGCAAGUGUCAAAGCGUCUUAGUUCAUCCCCCUGUGUGCUUGUUUCUGGCAAGUUUGGGUGGUCUGCUAAUAUGGAAAGGCUUAUGAAAGCACAGACCCUUGGAGACGCUUCAAGCUUGGAGUUCAUGAGGGGGCGGAGAAUAUUAGAGAUCAAUCCAGAUCAUCCCAUCAUUAAAGAUCUGAAUGCUGCAUGCAAGAAUGCUCCAGAAAGUACAGAAGCCAGAAGAGCUGUCGACCUACUAUAUGAUACAGCCUUGAUUUCCAGUGGAUUCACUCCUGACAGUCCAGCUGAGUUGGGUAACAAGAUAUAUGAGAUGAUGGCGAUUGCCCUUGGCGGGAAAUGGGGGAGAUCAGAAUUGGGAGAGGGAGAGACAGGAGAUGCCCCUCUUGAAUCUGAUGCAGACGGUGAUGUUGAUACCUCGGUGACAGAAGUGGUUGAACCAUCGGAAGUGAGGGCAGAGAGCGAUCCCUGGAAGGAUUAAUAUUCUUUUGAUAGCUAUGACGGUUGUUUGUUUUGGCAUUGUUUCUGAUUCUUGGAGGCCAUGUAGAGAAACGUUUAGAUGGAGGCAUAAUGGGUUAAAAAUUCAGAGUGGUUAGGUACAAAUGCAUCAGAACUGUAAAAUUUGGUUGGCUUUUGCUUCGAGUUUUAUUCAAGGUUCAAAGUAUCAACACAGGUCGAUAUGCCGUUAGGGUGUAUUGGUGCUUUUUUUUUAAUGUUUUAUUUAUUUUUUAUUUUCAAAACCAGUUAGAGGGGUCAGUUUAAGUCCCUGAAUCAUGGUCUGAUCUGGUUUUAUUCUACUUUGUUUUAGGUUUCAUUCUA
This is an RNA transcript of Nelumbo nucifera (sacred lotus), 2848 nucleotides long. It is a transcript of the gene named heat shock protein 90-5, chloroplastic-like, with no coding region annotated. The record is from RefSeq and is a predicted model, not a curated record. NCBI's taxonomy places the organism in Eukaryota, Viridiplantae, Streptophyta, Magnoliopsida, Proteales, Nelumbonaceae.